Halostagnicola larsenii XH-48 is the source of this 176-nucleotide transfer RNA. It matches the Rfam family "tRNA". From Rfam's summary of the family: Transfer RNA (tRNA) molecules are approximately 80 nucleotides in length. Their secondary structure includes four short double-helical elements and three loops (D, anti-codon, and T loops). Further hydrogen bonds mediate the characteristic L-shaped molecular structure. tRNAs have two regions of fundamental functional importance: the anti-codon, which is responsible for specific mRNA codon recognition, and the 3' end, to which the tRNAs corresponding amino acid is attached (by aminoacyl-tRNA synthetases). tRNAs cope with the degeneracy of the genetic code in two manners: having more than one tRNA (with a specific anti-codon) for a particular amino acid; and 'wobble' base-pairing, i.e. permitting non-standard base-pairing at the 3rd anti-codon position. The record is from Rfam. Lineage: Archaea; Methanobacteriati; Methanobacteriota; Halobacteria; Halobacteriales; Natrialbaceae.
GGGGUCGUGGCCAAGCCAGGCAUGGCGGCUGACUCCAGAGGCUACGGCGCCCGGGACGACACUCCAGACUGAUAUACUGAUCGGACACCUGAUCAGUGUCCGUGUGAUGACCCUCUGGAGUUCCGAGGCGCACCGGAGAUAUCAGUAGAUCGGGGGUUCAAAUCCCUCCGACCCCA